RNAcentral lists this ribosomal RNA (931 nucleotides) under uncultured bacterium. Its description in RNAcentral is "bacterial SSU rRNA". It matches the Rfam family "Bacterial small subunit ribosomal RNA", at positions 12 to 945 of the family's 1533-position model. The record is from RNAcentral.
UUUGAUCAUGGCUCAGAAUGAACGCUGGCGGCGCGCCUAAUACAUGCAAGUCGAGCGAGAAGACGUAGCAAUACGUUUGUAAAGCGGCGAACGGGUGAGGAAUACAUGGGUAACCUACCCUUGAGUGGGGAAUAACUAGCCGAAAGGUUAGCUAAUACCGCGUACGCUUCUUGGACUUCGGUUCAGGGAGGAAAGCGCUACCGUGGGUAGCGCGCUCUUGGAUGGGCUCAUGUCCUAUCAGCUUGUUGGUGAGGUAACGGCUCACCAAGGCUUCGACGGGUAGCUGGUCUGAGAGGACGACCAGCCACACUGGCACUGCGACACGGGCCAGACUCCUACGGGAGGCAGCAGUAAGGAAUAUUGCGCAAUGGGCGAAAGCCUGACGCAGCGACGCCGCGUGGGGGAUGAAGGUCUUCGGAUUGUAAACCCCUUUCGGGAGGGAAGAUGGAAUGGGGUAACCCAUUCGGACGGUACCUCCAGAAGCAGCCACGGCUAACUUCGUGCCAGCAGCCGCGGUAAUACGAAGGUGGCAAGCGUUAUUCGGAUUUACUGGGCGUACAGGGAGCGUAGGCGGUUCGGUAAGCCCUUUGUGAAAUCUCCAGGCUUAACCUGGAACAGUCGGAGGGGACUGCCGGGCUAGAGGACGGGAGAGGAGCGCGGAAUUCCCGGUGUAGCGGUGAAAUGCGUAGAGAUCGGGAGGAAAGGCCGGUGGCGAAAGGCGGCGCUCUGGAACGUUUCUGACGCUGAGGCUCGAAAGCGUGGGGAGCAAACAGGAUUAGAUACCCUGGUAGUCCACGCCUUAAACUAUGAAUACUAAGUGUCGGCGGGUUACCGCCGGUGCCGCAGCUAACGCAUUAAGUAUUCCGCCUGGGAGUACGGCCGCAGUUGAACUCAAAGGAUUGACGGGCCCGCACAGCGUGGAGCAUGUGUU